Molecule: ribosomal RNA, 503 nt
Filed under: uncultured Lactobacillus sp.
Lineage: Bacteria; Bacillati; Bacillota; Bacilli; Lactobacillales; Lactobacillaceae
Description: partial 16S ribosomal RNA
Source: RNAcentral
CACGUAGUUAGCCGUGGCUUUCUGGUUGGAUACCGUCACGCCGACAACAGUUACUCUGCCGACCAUUCUUCUCCAACAACAGAGUUUUACGACCCGAAAGUCUUCUUCACUCACGCGGCGUUGCUCCAUCAGACUUGCGUCCAUUGUGGAAGAUUCCCUACUGCUGCCUCCCGUAGGAGUUUGGGCCGUGUCUCAGUCCCAAUGUGGCCGAUCAACCUCUCAGUUCGGCUACGUAUCAUCGCCUUGGUGAGCCAUUACCUCACCAACUAGCUAAUACGCCGCGGGUCCAUCCAAAAGCGAUAGCUUACGCCAUCUUUCAGCCAAGAACCAUGCGGUUCUUGGAUCUAUGCGGUAUUAGCAUCUGUUUCCAAAUGUUAUCCCCCACUUAAGGGCAGGUUACCCACGUGUUACUCACCCGUCCGCCACUCGUUCCAUGUUGAAUCUCGGUGCAAGCACCGAGAUUCAACGAGAACUCGUUCGACUUGCAUGUAUUAGGCACGCCC